AUACGUAGGGGGCGAGCGUUGUCCGGAAUGAUUGGGCGUAAAGGGCGCGUAGGCGGCCCGGUAAGUCUGGAGUGAAAGUCCUGUUUUUAAGAUGGGAAUUGCUUUGGAUACUGUCGGGCUUGAGUGCAGGAGAGGUAAGUGGAAUUCCCAGUGUAGCGGUGAAAUGCGUAGAGAUCGGGAGGAACACCAGUGGCGAAGGCGGGUAACUGGACUGCAACUGACGCUGAGGCGCGAAAGUGUGGGGAGCAAACAGGAUUAGAUACCCUGGUAGUCCACACUGUAAACGAUGAAUGCUAGGUGUAGGAGGUAUCGACCCCUUCUGUGCCGCAGUAAACACAGUAAGCAUUCCGCCUGGGGAGUACGGUCGCAAGAUUAAAACUCAAAUGAAUUGACGGGG
This 397-nucleotide ribosomal RNA is filed under the name uncultured bacterium. Its description in RNAcentral is "partial 16S ribosomal RNA". It matches the Rfam family "Bacterial small subunit ribosomal RNA", at positions 523 to 918 of the family's 1533-position model. The record is from RNAcentral.